AUUACAUAUCGAAUAUCAAAAUUUACAAACAAAUUAUAUUCAUCUAUUAUUGAGAUUAAAGAUACGGGUAUUCCAGUAAAUACUCAAGCUACGCAAGAUCCACCACUUGAUGAUUACUAUCAAUUAAUAAUAGAAAGUUCACCAAAAGAUCGUUAUUCAGAAGAAAGUCAUGCGGAAUCAUGCCCAUGUUGCAAAUAUUAUAAAAAAUAUUUACAUACUUUUGAAGAAAUCAGAGAUGAAAAUGAAUUUCAAACUAAAGGAAGUGAUUCAAAAUCAUUUCCUCAUUUAUCUUUAAGCACAUCCGAGAAAAAAGUCACUGAAGUUAAAGAUGAGAAACUAAUAGAAGGUAUAACAGCUCAAAAGUUUGAUGAUUCCUCCAUAUUAUUACCACAAAGAGAUAUUCCAGAAGAUAAUAUUGCUCUAACAAAAUUAUUUGAUAAAAAUGGGGUUGGAAGAAUAGAAUCUUGCAAGUUUAUUCAAGAAAAUAAGAAUACGAACGAAUUGCCUAGACUGUCACAAGUAACAGACAGUAACAAUGAAGUUGUUGAAAUGUUGAAAUCUAAAGAUGAGAAAGAAAAAGAAGCCAAUGAAUGUUUUAAAACAUGCACAUCCAUAAAUCAAGAUAAACUUAAAUCAAAUUAUAAUUUCCCUGAAAAACAAAUGGCACAAAUUUCAAAGAUAAAUCUGGAAAACGUAAUCGAAGAAGAUGCUGUUAUCUCACAAAACAAAGAAGCUGAAAUGUUUACUAAUAAACCUACGAGUAAUUUACUGGAUAAUACUGAAAAUACACUAGAGAAAAAAAAACAAUCAAAUAAGUCUCUGAGAAAACCGUCUUCUGUAAAUCAAGAUAACGCACCCAAAAAACAUGCUACAGUCUCCAGUAAAAUUGACGUACGUAUGCUUUUAGAUAACGAAACUCAAUUGAAAUUUAAAUUCACGCAAAAGCCUUCUGUAAAAAGAUUUGUUAAUGAGAAUUCGCAGAGAGUUUCUUCGCUGAGAAGAAUAAGAAAUGUGUUUAGCUACGAAAAUAUUAAAUUACAAGUCAAAAAAUCGUUUCAAGCUACUUCAAGUGCUUUUUCAGCAUUUUUUAAAUGUGUCAAUUUUAAAUCAGCUUUUAACACAAGACGUUCCAAAGAUAAUUACAUAGAAAAAGGAGAAAAACCAGCAAACACUGAUACUUAUGACAAUUCAGUUAAGGAAUUAGACAGUUCAGAUAUACGCAACUUUGAAAUCAGCGAGGAAGAAAUGUUUUCAUUGCAAUACACCAGUGAUCUGAUAAAUAUAGCAAACAGUUCCGAUGCAAACACAAAUUAAUUAUAUAACCUAAAUUUUCUUAGAAACUAUCAGUAAAAACUAAG
This is a long non-coding RNA of Vanessa tameamea, 1358 nucleotides long. RefSeq lists it as uncharacterized. The transcript has 3 exons. The record is from RefSeq and is a predicted model, not a curated record. NCBI's taxonomy places the organism in Eukaryota, Metazoa, Arthropoda, Insecta, Lepidoptera, Nymphalidae.